Non-coding RNA from Osmia lignaria (orchard mason bee), 910 nucleotides. Lineage: Eukaryota; Metazoa; Arthropoda; Insecta; Hymenoptera; Megachilidae. The record is from RefSeq and is a predicted model, not a curated record.
UGAUUCCGUCACUGCUUUUCUUAACACUAAAUAUUCAAAAAUGGCGAAGUUACCCCUUGGGGUCUUUUUCAAAAAUCGGUACAAACGAAAGUGAAGGUGGUACAAAUGGGUACAAACGAUUAGGAAACAGCACCCGCAAGAAGAUUUGAAAAAUCUUCAAAAAUGGCGAAGUAACUUCUGGGGGGCUUUUUCAAAAAUCGGUACAAACGAACUCCUAUGGGUACAAACAAAAGUGAAGGUGGUACAAAUGGGUACAAACGAUUAGGAAACAGCACCCGCAAGAAGAUUUGAAAAAUCUUCAAAAAUGGCGAAGUAACUUCUGGGGGGCUUUUUCAAAAAUCGGUACAAACGAACUCCUAUGGGUACAAACGAAAGUGAAGGUGGUACAAACGGGUACAAACGACUAGGAAACAGCACCCGCAAGAAGAUUUGAAAAAUCUUCAAAAAUGGCGAAGUAACUUCUGGGGGGCUUUUUCAAAAAUCGGUACAAACGAACUCCUAUGGGUACAAACGAAAGUGAAGGUGGUACAAACGGGUACAAACGACUAGGAAACAGCACCCGCAAGAAGAUUUGAAAAAUCUUCAAAAAUGGCGAAGUAACUUCUGGGGGGCUUUUUCAAAAAUCAGUACAAACGAACUCCUAUGGGUACAAAUGAAAGUGAAGGUGGUACAAACGGGUACAAACGACUAGGAAACAGCACCCGCAAGAAGAUUUGAAAAAUCUUCAAAAAUGGCGAAGUAACUUCUGGGGGGCUUUUUCAAAAAUCGGUACAAACGAACUCCUAUGGGUACAAACGAAAGUGAAGGUGGUACAAACGGGUACAAACGACUAGGAAACAGCACCCGCAAGAAGAUUUGAAAAAUCUUCAAAAAUGGCGAAGUAACUUCUGGGGGGCUUUUUCAAAAAUCG